Molecule: long non-coding RNA, 653 nt
Organism: Carassius gibelio (silver crucian carp)
Lineage: Eukaryota; Metazoa; Chordata; Actinopteri; Cypriniformes; Cyprinidae
Exons: 4
Source: RefSeq, a predicted model, not a curated record
CAACCCGUUCUCAUCAGUCUGCGUAUAAAUAACACGACUUUACACUUUCUAUUUGCGUGUAAUGCAUACGCCAAAUGCCAUUUUUGCGUGCAUAUGAUACGCCAAUCCUUCCCAUUAAUUUCGGUGGAGAGCAGAUGCGUCCAAAUAACACGCAUCAUCUUCAGCGGCAGUGACGUCACCAGCGAGGCUCGUUCAGUUCACCUGAUGCGCGUACACCUUCAAACAGUUACGUCGGAUUACAUACUCCACAACAACCUGUAAUCCAGCAGAUCUUUAAAGAAGCCAUCUCUUGUAAAAUCUCUCUCUCUCUCUCUCUCUCUCUCUCUCUCUCUCUCUCUCUCUCUCUCUCUCUCUCUCGCUCUGCUAGAAUUAACAGGGAACUUCAACUCCACGCUCCCAAUGCUGAUAUUGAAGAAGCUGUCAAGGGGGCUGAACAAGUCCUUCAAAGGAUCAACCCUUCACAGGAAGGCCUGUCAUGAGAUUUGAAUUUGACCAUCUUGUGCAUUUAUGAAGAAGACCAAAAGCUGCAAAGGCAAACACUUCCAAUGGCAGAAACUGAGAGUUUGCAUGAUGGCAUUUUCUCAGACGCUGAAUCUGAUGUGUACAGAUGAACUCAGGAGCCUACUAGAGUUGCCACGGAACUUGUGCUUGAA